AGAUUGAACGCUAGCGGCAUUGCCUAACACAUGCAAGUCGAACGGUAACAGGCCCUUCGGGGUGCUGACGAGUGGCGGACGGUGAGUAAUGCGUAGGAAUCUACCCUGAUGUGGGGGAUAACGUAGGGAAACUUACGCUAAGUACCGCAUACGACCGAGNGGUGAAAGUCGGGGGGACCGAAAGGCCUCGGCGCAGCAGGAUG
This 203-nucleotide ribosomal RNA is filed under the name uncultured prokaryote. RNAcentral's name for it is "partial 16S ribosomal RNA". It matches the Rfam family "Bacterial small subunit ribosomal RNA", at positions 26 to 227 of the family's 1533-position model. The record is from RNAcentral.